Molecule: ribosomal RNA, 301 nt
Filed under: uncultured bacterium
Lineage: Bacteria
Description: partial 16S ribosomal RNA
Rfam family: Bacterial small subunit ribosomal RNA
Source: RNAcentral
CAGCAGCCGCGGGAAUACGUAGGUGGCAAGCGUUGUCCGGAAUUAUUGGGCGUAAAGGGCUCGCAGGCGGUUUCUUAAGUCUGAUGUGAAAGCCCCCGGCUCAACCGGGGAGGGUCAUUGGAAACUGGGAAACUUGAGUGCAGAAGAGGAGAGUGGAAUUCCACGUGUAGCGGUGAAGUGCGUAGAGAUGUGGAGGAACACCAGUGGCGAAGGCGACUCUCUGGUAUGUAACUGACGCUGAGGAGCGAAAGCGUGGGGAGCGAACAGGAUUAGAUACCCGGGUAGUCCCUGUCUCUUAUAC